Molecule: ribosomal RNA, 2903 nt
Filed under: Klebsiella quasipneumoniae
Lineage: Bacteria; Pseudomonadati; Pseudomonadota; Gammaproteobacteria; Enterobacterales; Enterobacteriaceae
Description: 23S ribosomal RNA
Rfam family: Bacterial large subunit ribosomal RNA
Source: RNAcentral
GGUUAAGCGACUAAGCGUACACGGUGGAUGCCCUGGCAGUCAGAGGCGAUGAAGGACGUGCUAAUCUGCGAAAAGCGUCGGUAAGGUGAUAUGAACCGUUAUAACCGGCGAUGUCCGAAUGGGGAAACCCAGUGCAAUUCGUUGCACUAUCGUUAACUGAAUACAUAGGUUAACGAGGCGAACCGGGGGAACUGAAACAUCUAAGUACCCCGAGGAAAAGAAAUCAACCGAGAUUCCCCCAGUAGCGGCGAGCGAACGGGGAGCAGCCCAGAGUCUGAAUCAGCUUGUGUGUUAGUGGAACGGUCUGGAAAGUCCGACGGUACAGGGUGAUAGUCCCGUACACCAAAAUGCACAGGUUGUGAACUCGAAGAGUAGGGCGGGACACGUGGUAUCCUGUCUGAAUAUGGGGGGACCAUCCUCCAAGGCUAAAUACUCCUGACUGACCGAUAGUGAACCAGUACCGUGAGGGAAAGGCGAAAAGAACCCCGGCGAGGGGAGUGAAAAAGAACCUGAAACCGUGUACGUACAAGCAGUGGGAGCACCUUUAUGGUGUGACUGCGUACCUUUUGUAUAAUGGGUCAGCGACUUAUAUUCUGUAGCAAGGUUAACCGUAUAGGGGAGCCGCAGGGAAACCGAGUCUUAACUGGGCGUUAAGUUGCAGGGUAUAGACCCGAAACCCGGUGAUCUAGCCAUGGGCAGGUUGAAGGUUGGGUAACACUAACUGGAGGACCGAACCGACUAAUGUUGAAAAAUUAGCGGAUGACUUGUGGCUGGGGGUGAAAGGCCAAUCAAACCGGGAGAUAGCUGGUUCUCCCCGAAAGCUAUUUAGGUAGCGCCUCGUGAACUCAUCUUCGGGGGUAGAGCACUGUUUCGGCUAGGGGGUCAUCCCGACUUACCAACCCGAUGCAAACUACGAAUACCGAAGAAUGUUAUCACGGGAGACACACGGCGGGUGCUAACGUCCGUCGUGAAGAGGGAAACAACCCAGACCGCCAGCUAAGGUCCCAAAGUCAUGGUUAAGUGGGAAACGAUGUGGGAAGGCACAGACAGCCAGGAUGUUGGCUUAGAAGCAGCCAUCAUUUAAAGAAAGCGUAAUAGCUCACUGGUCGAGUCGGCCUGCGCGGAAGAUGUAACGGGGCUAAACCAUGCACCGAAGCUGCGGCAGCGACACGAUGUGUUGUUGGGUAGGGGAGCGUUCUGUAAGCCUGCGAAGGUGACCUGUGAGGGUUGCUGGAGGUAUCAGAAGUGCGAAUGCUGACAUAAGUAACGAUAAAGCGGGUGAAAAGCCCGCUCGCCGGAAGACCAAGGGUUCCUGUCCAACGUUAAUCGGGGCAGGGUGAGUCGACCCCUAAGGCGAGGCCGAAAGGCGUAGUCGAUGGGAAACAGGUUAAUAUUCCUGUACUUGGUGUUACUGCGAAGGGGGGACGGAGAAGGCUAUGUUAGCCGGGCGACGGUUGUCCCGGUUUAAGCAUGUAGGCUGGUUAUCCAGGCAAAUCCGGAUAAUCAAGGCUGAGGUGUGAUGACGAGGCACUACGGUGCUGAAGUAACAAAUGCCCUGCUUCCAGGAAAAGCCUCUAAGCAUCAGGUAACAUCAAAUCGUACCCCAAACCGACACAGGUGGUCAGGUAGAGAAUACCAAGGCGCUUGAGAGAACUCGGGUGAAGGAACUAGGCAAAAUGGUGCCGUAACUUCGGGAGAAGGCACGCUGGUGUGUAGGUGAAGUCCCUGCGGAUGGAGCUGAGACCAGUCGAAGAUACCAGCUGGCUGCAACUGUUUAUUAAAAACACAGCACUGUGCAAACACGAAAGUGGACGUAUACGGUGUGACGCCUGCCCGGUGCCGGAAGGUUAAUUGAUGGGGUUAUCCGUAAGGAGAAGCUCUUGAUCGAAGCCCCGGUAAACGGCGGCCGUAACUAUAACGGUCCUAAGGUAGCGAAAUUCCUUGUCGGGUAAGUUCCGACCUGCACGAAUGGCGUAAUGAUGGCCAGGCUGUCUCCACCCGAGACUCAGUGAAAUUGAACUCGCUGUGAAGAUGCAGUGUACCCGCGGCAAGACGGAAAGACCCCGUGAACCUUUACUAUAGCUUGACACUGAACAUUGAGCCUUGAUGUGUAGGAUAGGUGGGAGGCUUUGAAGCGUGGACGCCAGUCUGCGUGGAGCCAACCUUGAAAUACCACCCUUUAAUGUUUGAUGUUCUAACGUUGGCCCCUUACCGGGGUUGCGGACAGUGUCUGGUGGGUAGUUUGACUGGGGCGGUCUCCUCCCAAAGCGUAACGGAGGAGCACGAAGGUUAGCUAAUCCUGGUCGGACAUCAGGAGGUUAGUGCAAUGGCAUAAGCUAGCUUGACUGCGAGCGUGACGGCGCGAGCAGGUGCGAAAGCAGGUCAUAGUGAUCCGGUGGUUCUGAAUGGAAGGGCCAUCGCUCAACGGAUAAAAGGUACUCCGGGGAUAACAGGCUGAUACCGCCCAAGAGUUCAUAUCGACGGCGGUGUUUGGCACCUCGAUGUCGGCUCAUCACAUCCUGGGGCUGAAGUAGGUCCCAAGGGUAUGGCUGUUCGCCAUUUAAAGUGGUACGCGAGCUGGGUUUAGAACGUCGUGAGACAGUUCGGUCCCUAUCUGCCGUGGGCGCUGGAGAAUUGAGGGGGGCUGCUCCUAGUACGAGAGGACCGGAGUGGACGCAUCACUGGUGUUCGGGUUGUCAUGCCAAUGGCACUGCCCGGUAGCUAAAUGCGGAAGAGAUAAGUGCUGAAAGCAUCUAAGCACGAAACUUGCCCCGAGAUGAGUUCUCCCUGAGACUUUAAGUCUCCUGAAGGAACGUUGAAGACGACGACGUUGAUAGGCCGGGUGUGUAAGCGCAGCGAUGCGUUGAGCUAACCGGUACUAAUGAACCGUGAGGCUUAACCUU